RNAcentral lists this ribosomal RNA (247 nucleotides) under uncultured bacterium. RNAcentral's name for it is "partial 16S ribosomal RNA". It matches the Rfam family "Bacterial small subunit ribosomal RNA", at positions 86 to 334 of the family's 1533-position model. The record is from RNAcentral.
UGAUGGCGACCGGCGCACGGGUGAGUAACACGUAUCCAACCUGCCUCAUACUCGGGGAUAGCCUCUCGAAAGAAAGAUUAAUAUCCGAUAGCAUAUAUUUCCCGCAUGGGUUUUAUAUUAAAGAAAUUCGGUAUGAGAUGGGGAUGCGUUCCAUUAGUUUGUUGGGGGGGUAACGGCCCACCAAGACUACGAUGGAUAGGGGUUCUGAGAGGAAGGUCCCCCACAUUGGAACUGAGACACGGUCCAA